UAGGUACGGCCCAACAAGGCGAUGAUCAGUAGCCGGUCUGAGAGGAUGAACGGCCACAUUGGGACUGAGACACGGCCCAGACUCCUACGGGAGGCAGCAGUGGGAAAUCUUCCGCAAUGGACGAAAGUCUGACGGAGCAACGCCGCGUGAGUGAAGAAGGUCUUCGGAUUGUAAAGCUCUGUUAUACGGGACGAAAAAGACGGAUGCCAACAGUAUCCGUCCGUGACGGUACCGUAAGAGAAAGCCACGGGCUAACUACGUGCCAGCAGCCGCGGUAAAU
This 280-nucleotide ribosomal RNA is filed under the name uncultured Veillonellaceae bacterium. RNAcentral describes it as "partial 16S ribosomal RNA". It matches the Rfam family "Bacterial small subunit ribosomal RNA", at positions 253 to 525 of the family's 1533-position model. Lineage: Bacteria; Bacillati; Bacillota; Negativicutes; Veillonellales; Veillonellaceae. The record is from RNAcentral.